AGAGGGUGCAAACGUUGCUCGGAAUCACUGGGCGUAAAGGGCGUGUAGGCGGGAAGAUAAGUCGGGCGUGAAAUCCCAGGGCUCAACCCAGGAACUGCACUCGAAACUGUUUUUCUUGAGUGUCGGAGAGGAAAGCGGAAUUCCUGGUGUAGAGGUGAAAUUCGUAGAUAUCAGGAGGAACACCAGCGGCGAAGGCGGCUUUCUGGACGAUAACUGACGCUGAGACGCGAAAGCGUGGGGAGCAAACAGGAUUAGAUACCCUGGUAGUCCACGCUGUAAACGAUGAGUGCUAGGUGUCGUGGGUAUUGACCCCCGCGGUGCCGAAGCUAACGCAUUAAGCACUCCGCCUGGGAAGUACGGUCGCAAGACUA
Molecule: ribosomal RNA, 371 nt
Filed under: uncultured bacterium
Lineage: Bacteria
Description: bacterial SSU rRNA
Rfam family: Bacterial small subunit ribosomal RNA
Source: RNAcentral